This 230-nucleotide long non-coding RNA is filed under the name Nicotiana benthamiana. RNAcentral's name for it is "long non-coding RNA (NBEN_LNC041355)". Lineage: Eukaryota; Viridiplantae; Streptophyta; Magnoliopsida; Solanales; Solanaceae. The record is from RNAcentral.
GACUAAUGAAAUUGAAAAUAAAUAAAUUUCAUAAAACAACAACAAGUGAGGAGAUAGGAGAAUGAGGAGAGGGAUGGGGAUGCGGGAGGGGGAUAACCUGUUGGAGGAGGUGGUUGUAGGUGCCGGGAAUUCGCCAACUAAAGGCUGUAUCUUGGGAUUUCUUGACCGUUGUGGGGAGGGGGGAGCAUUUCUAGAAAUGAGAGAGAAAGAGGUAAUAAUUUUCGAAUGCU